Molecule: ribosomal RNA, 294 nt
Filed under: Triticum aestivum (bread wheat)
Lineage: Eukaryota; Viridiplantae; Streptophyta; Magnoliopsida; Poales; Poaceae
Description: partial small subunit ribosomal RNA
Source: RNAcentral
AUGUUGAUGCAAGACUACUUCGCGGACAAUCCAACAUAUCCGCCACACCUCUUCCGGAGAAGGUACCGAAUGCGCCGAUCCCUCUUUGUGAAAAUAGUUCAAGCUUGCAAGGCCAACUGUCGGUAUUUUACUCAAAGAAGAAAUGUCGCGGGCUUGAAGGGAUUUAGUGCAUAUCAAAAAUCUCGGCAGCUAUGCGGGCAAUUGCAUACGGCAUUCCGGCUGACUAUGUCGAUGAGUACUUUCGCAUUGGUGAAGAUACUACAAUUGAGUCAGUGCGUAGGUUUGCCAAAGUGA